This 420-nucleotide ribosomal RNA is filed under the name uncultured Paeniglutamicibacter sp. Its description in RNAcentral is "bacterial SSU rRNA". It matches the Rfam family "Bacterial small subunit ribosomal RNA", at positions 358 to 790 of the family's 1533-position model. The record is from RNAcentral. Lineage: Bacteria; Bacillati; Actinomycetota; Actinomycetes; Micrococcales; Micrococcaceae.
GGAAUAUUGCACAAUGGGCGAAAGCCUGAUGCAGCGACGCCGCGUGAGGGAUGACGGCCUUCGGGUUGUAAACCUCUUUCAGUAGGGAAGAAGCGAAAGUGACGGUACCUGCAGAAGAAGCGCCGGCUAACUACGUGCCAGCAGCCGCGGUAAUACGUAGGGCGCAAGCGUUAUCCGGAAUUAUUGGGCGUAAAGAGCUCGUAGGCGGUUUGUCGCGUCUAUCGUGAAAGUCCGAGGCUCAACCUCGGAUCUGCGGUGGGUACGGGCAGACUAGAGUGAUGUAGGGGAGACUGGAAUUCCUGGUGUAGCGGUGAAAUGCGCAGAUAUCAGGAGGAACACCGAUGGCGAAGGCAGGUCUCUGGGCAUUAACUGACGCUGAGGAGCGAAAGCAUGGGGAGCGAACAGGAUUAGAUACCCUUG